Molecule: long non-coding RNA, 1143 nt
Filed under: Anser brachyrhynchus (Pink-footed goose)
Lineage: Eukaryota; Metazoa; Chordata; Aves; Anseriformes; Anatidae
Description: lncRNA (ENSABRG00000018016.1)
Source: RNAcentral
ACCUGGGCCGGGGCCCCGCUACCGCGCUCGGCCCCGCGGCGAGGCGAGAGGCGCUGCUCCCGCUCACGGCCCCGCUCCCCUCACGGCCUGCACCGCGCUGCCGCCGCCGCCGCCGCCGCCUCCUCGUCCUCGUCGUCCCCACCCGCCCGCCGAGUCGGCCCCGCAGCCGGCGGGCACGGCACGGCACGGCCCGCCCCGGCCAGGUGUGGGCGGGGGCGGCGGGGCGGGGACGGGCACGGGGAGGGAGCGGCCGCGGCCCGGGGCUGGCGCCUCAGGAAGGAGCCGCCUGGGAGCGGGGGGCGAUCGCUCGGGGCCCGCGCGGGGUCGGCUCUGAGGGGGAGCUGCGCGGCCCCGGGCGGCCACCGCUGCCCUCUGUGGGCGGAGGGGAGCAGCGGCCCCCCGGGGCCCCUCUUUCCCCCCGGGGCCCUCCCAGGCUCGCACCCACCCCCCCACAAACCUCCCCCCCCCGUAGCGGCAGCAGGUGAACGCCGGCCCGAGACCUGUUGCGAUUUGGGUUCAUUUCGGCCGCGUUUCGUUCAGCAGCCGGGACUUGAGAAUUGUUUCAGCCCGCACGCUCGCAGCGUGCUUCCCCCGGCCGCCCUCGUUGCUCGUGGCCUUUUUUCUUUUUUUUUUUCGAUUCCCCACCUCGCUCCCCGGCCUGGUGGAGCUGAGGUGGGCGUUGUGCGGCCUGGUCAGGGGGCUGAAGGGUUACCCAGCCGGCCGCCGGCUGUUUUGGUGCUCUUUGGCUCCUCGCCCAACCCUUCCCAGGUGCUGGUGUUGCAUCAGAGCAGGCACUACCACCGCCCGGCUCGGCGUUUUCACCUCGCCGCUGCCGUUCUCCUCCGCACGCUGUACUUGGACCGCUCAGGCGUUUCCCACGGCAUGUUAAUUUUUUUUUUCCCUCUGUGGUCUCCAGGAUUUCUUCCCAUGCCUGGCAACUGUGUUCCUCCGGGAUGUUUUGCCCUUGUCCUCUCAUCCAGGGUGGUGCCAGGAGCAGAGGAGCAGCUCGCGGAGUUAACGCGGCUCUUCCUGCGCCCUGGCGUCGUCCCCUCGAGUGCUCGGAGCAGCACAGGGCUUCAGGUUCCUGACCGCGACACCACGAGCUCAGUGGGGUGUGCGUCACUCCGCUCUGCCCUAACCUAA